GACGAACGCUGGCGGCGUGCUUAACACAUGCAAGUCGAGCGGAAAGGCCUCUUUCGGGGGGUACUCGAGUGGCGAACGGGUGAGUAACACGUGAGUAACCUGCCCUUGACUUUGGGAUAACUUCAGGAAACUGGGGCUAAUACCGGAUAGGAGCUCCUGCUGCAUGGUGGGGGUUGGAAAGUUUCGGCGGUUGGGGAUGGACUCGCGGCUUAUCAGCUUGUUGGUGGGGUAGUGGCUUACCAAGGCUUUGACGGGUAGCCGGCCUGAGAGGGUGACCGGCCACAUUGGGACUGAGAUACGGCCCAGACUCCUACGGGAGGCAGCAGUGGGGAAUAUUGCACAAUGGGUGGAAGCCUGAUGCAGCAACGCCGUGUGCGGGAUGACGGCCUUCGGGUUGUAAACCGCUUUCGCUCAUGACGAAGCUUUGUGUGACGGUAGUGGGUAAAGAAGCACCGGCUAUCUACGUG
Molecule: ribosomal RNA, 467 nt
Filed under: uncultured bacterium
Lineage: Bacteria
Description: partial 16S ribosomal RNA
Rfam family: Bacterial small subunit ribosomal RNA
Source: RNAcentral